GACGAACGCUGGCGGCGUGCUUAACACAUGCAAGUCUAACGGAAAGGCCCUGCCUUUGUGGGUUUCUCGAGUGGCGAACGGGUGAGUAACACGUGUGUAACCUGCCCUUGACUUUGGGAUAACUUCAGGAAACUGGGGCUAAUACCGGAUAGGAGCUCCUGCUUCAUGGUGGGGGUUGGUAAGUUUCGGCGGUUGCGGAUGGACUCGCGGCUUAUCUGCUUGUUGGUGGGGUAGUUGCUUACCUAGGCUUUGACGGGUAGCCAGCCUGAGAGGGUGACCGGCCACAUUGGGACUGAGAUGCGGCCCAGACUCCUACGGGAGGCAGCAGUGGGAAAUAUUGCACAAUGGGCGGAAGCCUGAUGCAGCAACGCCGCGUGCGGGAUAACGGCCGUCGGGUUGUAAACCGCUUUCGCCUGUGACGAAGCGUGAGUGACGGUAAUGGAUAAAGAAGCACCGGCUAACUACGUG
This 468-nucleotide ribosomal RNA is filed under the name uncultured bacterium. RNAcentral describes it as "partial 16S ribosomal RNA". It matches the Rfam family "Bacterial small subunit ribosomal RNA", at positions 28 to 507 of the family's 1533-position model. The record is from RNAcentral.